UACGUAGGUGGCAAGCGUUGUCCGGAUUUACUGGGCGUAAAGAGCGCGCAGGCGGUCGUUCAAGUCGCGUGUGAAAGCCCCCGGCUCAACUGGGGAGGGUCACGCGAUACUGAUCGACUCGAAGGCAGGAGAGGGAAGUGGAAUUCCCGGUGUAGUGGUGAAAUGCGUAGAUAUCGGGAGGAACACCAAAGGCGAAGGCAGUGUCCUGGGGAGUACCUGACGCUCAGGUGCGAAAGCCAGGGGAGCGAACGGG
This 253-nucleotide ribosomal RNA is filed under the name uncultured bacterium. Its description in RNAcentral is "partial 16S ribosomal RNA". It matches the Rfam family "Bacterial small subunit ribosomal RNA", at positions 524 to 776 of the family's 1533-position model. The record is from RNAcentral.